GAUGAACGCUAGCUACAGGCUUAACACAUGCAAGUCGAGGGGAAACGAUAGAGAAAGCUUGCUUUUUCUAGGCGUCGACCGGCGCACGGGUGAGUAACGCGUAUCCAACCUGCCCACCACUUGGGGAUAACCUUGCGAAAGUAAGACUAAUACCCAAUGACGUCUCUAGAAGACAUCUGAAAGGGAUUUAAAGAUUUAUCGGUGAUGGAUGGGGAUGCGUCUGAUUAGCUUGUUGGCGGGGUAACGGCCCACCAAGGCGACGAUCAGUAGGGGUUCUGAGAGGAAGGUCCCCCACAUUGGAACUGAGACACGGUCCAAACUCCUACGGGAGGCAGCAGUGAGGAAUAUUGGUCAAUGGGCGAGAGCCUGAACCAGCCAAGUAGCGUGCAGGAUGACGGCCCUAUGGGUUGUAAACUGCUUUUAUAAGGGAAUAAAGUGAGCCUCGUGAGGCUUUUUGCAUGUACCUUAUGAAUAAGGACCGGCUAAUUCCGUG
RNAcentral lists this ribosomal RNA (493 nucleotides) under uncultured bacterium. RNAcentral's name for it is "bacterial SSU rRNA". It matches the Rfam family "Bacterial small subunit ribosomal RNA", at positions 28 to 507 of the family's 1533-position model. The record is from RNAcentral.